UUUUGAUUAAUAAUUUAAAGUCUAAUCUGCCCACUGAUAAUAUAUUAAAGGGCUGCAGUAUUUUGACUGUACAAAGGUAGCAUAAUCAUUAGUCUCUUAAUUGGUGACUUGUAUGAAGGAUUUGAUGAAAUAUAUACUGUCUCUUUUUAAUUUAUAAAAUUUAAUUUUUUAGUUAAAAAGCUAAAAUAUAUUUAAAAGACGAGAAGACCCUAUAGAGUUUUAUAUUUAAAUAAAUUAAAAUUUUUUAUAAGAUUUAAAAUUUUAAUUUAUUUAAAUAUUUUGUUGGGGUGAUAGAAAAAUUAAAAUAACUUUUUUUAUAAUUUUACAUUAAUAAAUGAAUAAAUGAUCCGUAAUUUACGAUUAAAAGAUAAAAUUACCUUAGGGAUAACAGCGUAAUUUUUUUUUUUAGUUCGAAUAAGAAAAAAAGUUUGCGACCUCGAUGUUGGAUUAAGAUAAAAUUUAAAUGCAAAAGUUUAAAAUUUUUGAUCUG
This 490-nucleotide ribosomal RNA is filed under the name Parnassius tianschanicus. RNAcentral describes it as "partial 16S ribosomal RNA". The record is from RNAcentral. Lineage: Eukaryota; Metazoa; Arthropoda; Insecta; Lepidoptera; Papilionidae.